RNAcentral lists this ribosomal RNA (468 nucleotides) under uncultured bacterium. RNAcentral's name for it is "partial 16S ribosomal RNA". It matches the Rfam family "Bacterial small subunit ribosomal RNA", at positions 28 to 507 of the family's 1533-position model. The record is from RNAcentral.
GACGAACGCUGGCGGCGUGCUUAACACAUGCAAGUCGAACGGAAAGGGCCUGCUGUUGUGGGGUGCUCGAGUGGCGAACGGGUGAGUAACACGUGAGUAACCUGCCCCUGACUUUGGGAUAACUUCAGGAAAAUGGGGCUAAUACCGGAUAGGAGCUCCUGCUGCAUGGUGGGGGGUGGAAAGGUUCGGCGGUUGGGGAUGGACUCGCGGCUUAUCAGCUUGUUGGUGGGGUAGUGGCUUACCAAGGCUUUGACGGGUAGCCGGCCUGAGAGGGUGACCGGCCACAUUGGGACUGAGAUACGGCCCAGACUCCUACGGGAGGCAGCAGUGGGGAAUAUUGCACAAUGGGCGGAAGCCUGAUGCAGCAACGCCGCGUGCGGGAUGACGGCCUUCGGGUUGUAAACCGCUUUCGCCUGUGACGAAGCGUGAGUGACGGUAAUGGGUAAAGAAGCACCGGCUAACUACGUG